RNAcentral lists this ribosomal RNA (2931 nucleotides) under Escherichia coli. Its description in RNAcentral is "23S ribosomal RNA". It matches the Rfam family "Bacterial large subunit ribosomal RNA". The record is from RNAcentral. Lineage: Bacteria; Pseudomonadati; Pseudomonadota; Gammaproteobacteria; Enterobacterales; Enterobacteriaceae.
GGGUUGUGAGGUUAAGCGACUAAGCGUACACGGUGGAUGCCCUGGCAGUCAGAGGCGAUGAAGGACGUGCUAAUCUGCGAUAAGCGUCGGUAAGGUGAUAUGAACCGUUAUAACCGGCGAUUUCCGAAUGGGGAAACCCAGUGUGUUUCGACACACUAUCAUUAACUGAAUCCAUAGGUUAAUGAGGCGAACCGGGGGAACUGAAACAUCUAAGUACCCCGAGGAAAAGAAAUCAACCGAGAUUCCCCCAGUAGCGGCGAGCGAACGGGGAGGAGCCCAGAGCCUGAAUCAGUGUGUGUGUUAGUGGAAGCGUCUGGAAAGGCGCGCGAUACAGGGUGACAGCCCCGUACACAAAAAUGCACAUGCUGUGAGCUCGAUGAGUAGGGCGGGACACGUGGUAUCCUGUCUGAAUAUGGGGGGACCAUCCUCCAAGGCUAAAUACUCCUGACUGACCGAUAGUGAACCAGUACCGUGAGGGAAAGGCGAAAAGAACCCCGGCGAGGGGAGUGAAAAAGAACCUGAAACCGUGUACGUACAAGCAGUGGGAGCCUCUUAAUGGGGUGACUGCGUACCUUUUGUAUAAUGGGUCAGCGACUUAUAUUCUGUAGCAAGGUUAACCGAAUAGGGGAGCCGAAGGGAAACCGAGUCUUAACUGGGCGUUAAGUUGCAGGGUAUAGACCCGAAACCCGGUGAUCUAGCCAUGGGCAGGUUGAAGGUUGGGUAACACUAACUGGAGGACCGAACCGACUAAUGUUGAAAAAUUAGCGGAUGACUUGUGGCUGGGGGUGAAAGGCCAAUCAAACCGGGAGAUAGCUGGUUCUCCCCGAAAGCUAUUUAGGUAGCGCCUCGUGAAUUCAUCUCCGGGGGUAGAGCACUGUUUCGGCAAGGGGGUCAUCCCGACUUACCAACCCGAUGCAAACUGCGAAUACCGGAGAAUGUUAUCACGGGAGACACACGGCGGGUGCUAACGUCCGUCGUGAAGAGGGAAACAACCCAGACCGCCAGCUAAGGUCCCAAAGUCAUGGUUAAGUGGGAAACGAUGUGGGAAGGCCCAGACAGCCAGGAUGUUGGCUUAGAAGCAGCCAUCAUUUAAAGAAAGCGUAAUAGCUCACUGGUCGAGUCGGCCUGCGCGGAAGAUGUAACGGGGCUAAACCAUGCACCGAAGCUGCGGCAGCGACACUAUGUGUUGUUGGGUAGGGGAGCGUUCUGUAAGCCUGUGAAGGUGUACUGUGAGGUAUGCUGGAGGUAUCAGAAGUGCGAAUGCUGACAUAAGUAACGAUAAAGCGGGUGAAAAGCCCGCUCGCCGGAAGACCAAGGGUUCCUGUCCAACGUUAAUCGGGGCAGGGUGAGUCGACCCCUAAGGCGAGGCCGAAAGGCGUAGUCGAUGGGAAACAGGUUAAUAUUCCUGUACUUGGUGUUACUGCGAAGGGGGGACGGAGAAGGCUAUGUUGGCCGGGCGACGGUUGUCCCGGUUUAAGCGUGUAGGCUGGUUUUCCAGGCAAAUCCGGAAAAUCAAGGCUGAGGCGUGAUGACGAGGCACUACGGUGCUGAAGCAACAAAUGCCCUGCUUCCAGGAAAAGCCUCUAAGCAUCAGGUAACAUCAAAUCGUACCCCAAACCGACACAGGUGGUCAGGUAGAGAAUACCAAGGCGCUUGAGAGAACUCGGGUGAAGGAACUAGGCAAAAUGGUGCCGUAACUUCGGGAGAAGGCACGCUGAUAUGUAGGUGAAGUCCCUCGCGGAUGGAGCUGAAAUCAGUCGAAGAUACCAGCUGGCUGCAACUGUUUAUUAAAAACACAGCACUGUGCAAACACGAAAGUGGACGUAUACGGUGUGACGCCUGCCCGGUGCCGGAAGGUUAAUUGAUGGGGUUAGCGGUAACGCGAAGCUCUUGAUCGAAGCCCCGGUAAACGGCGGCCGUAACUAUAACGGUCCUAAGGUAGCGAAAUUCCUUGUCGGGUAAGUUCCGACCUGCACGAAUGGCGUAAUGAUGGCCAGGCUGUCUCCACCCGAGACUCAGUGAAAUUGAACUCGCUGUGAAGAUGCAGUGUACCCGCGGCAAGACGGAAAGACCCCGUGAACCUUUACUAUAGCUUGACACUGAACAUUGAGCCUUGAUGUGUAGGAUAGGUGGGAGGCUUUGAAGUGUGGACGCCAGUCUGCAUGGAGCCGGCCUUGAAAUACCACCCUUUAAUGUUUGAUGUUCUAACGUUGGCCCCUGAUCGGGGUUGCGGACAGUGUCUGGUGGGUAGUUUGACUGGGGCGGUCUCCUCCUAAAGAGUAACGGAGGAGCACGAAGGUUGGCUAAUCCUGGUCGGACAUCAGGAGGUUAGUGCAAUGGCAUAAGCCAGCUUGACUGCGAGCGUGACGGCGCGAGCAGGUGCGAAAGCAGGUCAUAGUGAUCCGGUGGUUCUGAAUGGAAGGGCCAUCGCUCAACGGAUAAAAGGUACUCCGGGGAUAACAGGCUGAUACCGCCCAAGAGUUCAUAUCGACGGCGGUGUUUGGCACCUCGAUGUCGGCUCAUCACAUCCUGGGGCUGAAGUAGGUCCCAAGGGUAUGGCUGUUCGCCAUUUAAAGUGGUACGCGAGCUGGGUUUAGAACGUCGUGAGACAGUUCGGUCCCUAUCUGCCGUGGGCGCUGGAGAACUGAGGGGGGCUGCUCCUAGUACGAGAGGACCGGAGUGGACGCAUCACUGGUGUUCGGGUUGUCAUGCCAAUGGCACUGCCCGGUAGCUAAAUGCGGAAGAGAUAAGUGCUGAAAGCAUCUAAGCACGAAACUUGCCCCGAGAUGAGUUCUCCCUGACUCCUUGAGAGUCCUGAAGGAACGUUGAAGACGACGACGUUGAUAGGCCGGGUGUGUAAGCGCAGCGAUGCGUUGAGCUAACCGGUACUAAUGAACCGUGAGGCUUAACCUUACAACGCCGAAGGUGUUU